Dendronephthya gigantea is the source of this 479-nucleotide long non-coding RNA. RefSeq lists it as uncharacterized. NCBI's taxonomy places the organism in Eukaryota, Metazoa, Cnidaria, Anthozoa, Malacalcyonacea, Nephtheidae. The record is from RefSeq and is a predicted model, not a curated record. The transcript is spliced from 3 exons.
UGUUUAGAGCAACCAGUUGAACGAUUGACUGAACAAUACUUACUCAUGAUUGGGAGUAGAAGAAUCUACAAUACAACGUUUACAGAAUGGAUAAAAGUAAUCUGUGAGAUCCAGCAUCUUAAAUGAUAUAUAUAGUUAAUUUUAGCAAGACUUUUUAAGGAGAAUCAAAGAUCGUGAUGUGCGUGUGGUUUGUGAUCUUCGUGUGCUUCCAUAUAUCCCUGGUUAUAUUUCCAGCAUCUGGAGGAAUACGAAGGAAUUCGACACUCAAACGCCUAGUUAUUCCAUCUAAAAGUGUACCGUAUGUUGUACAAAAACCUCCUGCGAAACGAAUGAUGAGCAAGCAGAAGAAAUCGUUUUCGUGGAACACUGGAGGUGGUGGAAAUGGCGCUGGUGGCGGCGGAGGGAGUAGUUGGCAGAGCCAAUGGGGUGGUGGCGGAGGAGGACAGGCAGGUGGAGGUGGACAUGGAGGUGGUGGUGAU